RNAcentral lists this ribosomal RNA (325 nucleotides) under uncultured eukaryote. Its description in RNAcentral is "partial 18S ribosomal RNA". It matches the Rfam family "Eukaryotic small subunit ribosomal RNA", at positions 1470 to 1796 of the family's 1831-position model. The record is from RNAcentral.
CCCUUAGAUGUCCUGGGCCGCACGCGCGUUACACUGAUGCAUUCAACGAGUUUUACCUUGGCCGAGAGGCCUGGGCAAUCUUUUAAACCUGCAUCGUGAUAGGGAUAGAUUAUUGCAAUUUUUAAUCUUGAACGAGGAAUUCCUAGUAAACGCAAAUCAUCAAUUUGCAUUGAUUACGUCCCUGCCCUUUGUACACACCGCCCGUCGCACCUACCGAUUGAAUGGUCCGGUGAAGCCUCGGGAUUGUGGCCAGUUCACUUUAUUGGGAGUUGGCUGUGAGAACUUGUCUAAACCUUAUCAUUUAGAGGAAGGUGAAGUCGUAACA